Molecule: ribosomal RNA, 253 nt
Filed under: uncultured bacterium
Lineage: Bacteria
Description: partial 16S ribosomal RNA
Rfam family: Bacterial small subunit ribosomal RNA
Source: RNAcentral
UACGUAGGAUGCAAGCGUUGUCCGGAAUUAUUGGGCGUAAAGAGCGCGCAGGCGGUAUGACAAGUCAGAUGUGAAAGAGGCCGGCUUAACCGGCAAGGGUCAUUUGAAACUGUCAGACUAGAGUGCAGCAGAGGAUAGUGGAAUUCCCGGUGUAGUGGUGAAAUGCGUAGAUAUCGGGAGGAACACCAGCGGCGAAAGCGGCGACCUGGACAGGUACUGACACUCAACUACGAAAGCGUGGGGAGCAAACAGG